Leopardus geoffroyi (Geoffroy's cat) is the source of this 1335-nucleotide long non-coding RNA. RefSeq lists it as uncharacterized. The transcript is spliced from 3 exons. NCBI's taxonomy places the organism in Eukaryota, Metazoa, Chordata, Mammalia, Carnivora, Felidae. The record is from RefSeq and is a predicted model, not a curated record.
UAAAUAGAAUAUAUAAUACAUAUAUAACAAUAUGUGUUAAUAGACUGUUUCCGUUAUUGGUAAGUCUUCUAGUAAGCAGGGGGCUGCUAAGUUUUUUGGGAGUCAACAGUUACAUGCACAUUUUCCACGGUGCAGGGGUUUGGUGCUCUUAACCCCCACACUGUUCAAGGCUCAACUGUACAACUAAAUCUACUCACAACACAAUGUGCUAUACCAGAAAGUGGGGUCAAGAGAAGAGUCCACUGAAAAUAUUCUGCUGGACCAGUUAAUGAUUGCUUUACACACACACACACACAUACACACACAGUCACAAGGUAGCACUGAAGAUCAGCGUUAUCACCCUCUUCAAGUAUAAUCUGGACACUGGUAGAUAGACUCGCAUGGCACCAGUUAGACUGCUCAGUUUUGGCAGUAAAAUCAUAGUCAUUUUGUUGUUGCUGUUUUUUGAUGGCUAGCAUCUGAUAAGUGGUAGAAAUCUGGUAACCAGAAACAGUGAUGCUCUGGAUACUAACAGAGAUGAUGGAAACAACAGGAUGAACUGUGAAGGACGGUUGACAGCAUUAAUGAAGUCAUUGCGUGGCUAAACCUUGUUCUGAAGACAGCUUCAGUCUCAAGGAAGAAAAUAACCUGGACUCCUAUUCUGAAAGACUUGACCCGUAAUAUAAAUCAGGGCACAAACAACAGCACUGUCCAGUUGCAAUGACUAUCAUGAUGAGCCCCUGACCUUCAGCACUGAGUGCAAUUGAUCUAGCUAUUACUGUUUACUUAAUGGAAAAACCUCUCUCCUGCUUUCAGAUUUGUCCCAAGGCUUAGCCACAAGAAUACCUCUUGUGCACUAAGAAGCAUGUACAAUUCCAGGUUUUAGAGAUUUAGCAGUGAAUAAGACAACCGGAGGAUAAAUGACAGAAGGGACAUCUGAGGCCUGGAGCGUGUACAGGGAAAGAGCUCUGACCAUGUCCAAAGUCAGGGUGUGCACACCCUACACAUCACUGAGUAUUUCACCUCUCGUUUGCUAUAUGCAGAAGCACAGGUGAGUAUUGCUGUUAUAACCAUUUUCCCAAUGCGGUAACAGUACCUCAGGGUAGUAAAAGUGACUGGCCCAUGGUGCCGUAAUUGAUUCAAGUCUUGGUUCUCUGACUCCAAAGGCCCUUUCACUUUACUUUUACUAUGACACUGCUGUUCCCCACACAACACAAGUAUCAAAUGAAAAGUUUCUUGAAUUUAGAUCUUUACCUUCUACAGUUGGCAUUUUGUACCGAAGUCUUACUUAUAGCUGGCAGUUACAAAUGAAAAGGACCAUAUAUGGAGAGAAUGUUAAUUUAACCAUAACCUUAU